AGAUUGAACGCUGGCGGCAUGCUUUACACAUGCAAGUCGAACGGUAACAGGCCGCAAGGUGCUGACGAGUGGCGAACGGGUGAGUAAUGCAUCGGAACGUGCCCAGUCGUGGAGGAUAACGCAGCGAAAGCUGGUGCUAAUACCGCAUACGAUCUAUGGAUAGAAAGCGGGGACCGAAAGGCCUCGCGCGAUUGGAGCGGCCGAUGUCAGAUUAGCUAGUUGGUGGGGUAAAGUCCCACAGGCGACGAUCUGUAGCUGGUCUGAGAGGACCGACCAGCCACACUGGAACUGACGACACGGUCCAGACUCCGUACGGGAGGCGAGCGAGGU
This 330-nucleotide ribosomal RNA is filed under the name uncultured soil bacterium. RNAcentral describes it as "bacterial SSU rRNA". It matches the Rfam family "Bacterial small subunit ribosomal RNA", at positions 26 to 360 of the family's 1533-position model. The record is from RNAcentral.